GCCGGCGUAGCACAGCAGGUAGUGCGGGGGAUUCGUAAUCUCCAGGUCGUGGGUUCGAGUCCCACCGCCGGCU
This 73-nucleotide transfer RNA is filed under the name Archaeoglobus sulfaticallidus PM70-1. RNAcentral describes it as "tRNA-Thr (CGT) (tRNA-Thr-CGT-2-1)". It matches the Rfam family "tRNA". From Rfam's summary of the family: Transfer RNA (tRNA) molecules are approximately 80 nucleotides in length. Their secondary structure includes four short double-helical elements and three loops (D, anti-codon, and T loops). Lineage: Archaea; Methanobacteriati; Methanobacteriota; Archaeoglobi; Archaeoglobales; Archaeoglobaceae. The record is from Rfam by way of RNAcentral.